RNAcentral lists this ribosomal RNA (418 nucleotides) under uncultured bacterium. Its description in RNAcentral is "bacterial SSU rRNA". It matches the Rfam family "Bacterial small subunit ribosomal RNA", at positions 355 to 773 of the family's 1533-position model. The record is from RNAcentral.
UGGGGAAUCUUGCGCAAUGGCCUAACGGCUGACGCAGCGACGCCGCGUGAGGGAUGACGCUCUUCGGAGUGUAAACCUCUUUUGCCUGAGACGAAUUGUCAGCUUCAGCUGAUUUGACCGUAACGGGUGAAUAAGCACCGGCUAACUCCGUGCCAGCAGCCGCGGUAAUACGGGGGGUGCGAGCGUUGUCCGGAAUCACUGGGCGUAAAGGGCGCGUAGGUGGCCUGAUAAGGGUGUGGUGAAAGUCCGGGGCUCAACCCCGGAUCGGCCGUGCCGACUGUUGGGCUAGAGUACUGUAGGGGCAGGCGGAAUUCCGGGUGUAGCGGUGGAAUGCGUAGAGAUCCGGAGGAAGACCGGUGGCGAAGGCGGCCUGCUGGGCAGUUACUGACACUGAGGCGCGACAGCGUGGGGAGCAAAC